GGGCCUAUAGCUCAAUUGGUUAGAGCUUCCGGCUCAUAACCGGGAGGUUCCAGGUUCAAGUCCUGGUGGGCCCACCA
RNAcentral lists this transfer RNA (77 nucleotides) under Nitrospinota bacterium. Its description in RNAcentral is "tRNA-Ile". It matches the Rfam family "tRNA". Rfam says of the family: Transfer RNA (tRNA) molecules are approximately 80 nucleotides in length. Lineage: Bacteria; Pseudomonadati; Nitrospinota. The record is from RNAcentral.